RNAcentral lists this ribosomal RNA (450 nucleotides) under uncultured bacterium. Its description in RNAcentral is "bacterial SSU rRNA". It matches the Rfam family "Bacterial small subunit ribosomal RNA", at positions 354 to 796 of the family's 1533-position model. The record is from RNAcentral.
GUGGGGAAUUUUGGACAAUGGGCGCAAGCCUGAUCCAGCCAUUCCGCGUGCAGGAUGAAGGCCUUCGGGUUGUAAACUGCUUUUGUACGGAACGAAACGGUUCUCUCUAAUACAGGGGGCUAAUGACGGUACCGUAAGAAUAAGCACCGGCUAACUACGUGCCAGCAGCCGCGGUAAUACGUAGGGUGCAAGCGUUAAUCGGAAUUACUGGGCGUAAAGCGUGCGCAGGCGGUUUUGUAAGACAGAGGUGAAAUCCCCGGGCUCAACCUGGGAACUGCCUUUGUGACUGCAAGGCUGGAGUACGGCAGAGGGGGAUGGAAUUCCGCGUGUAGCAGUGAAAUGCGUAGAUAUGCGGAGGAACACCGAUGGCGAAGGCAAUCCCCUGGGCCUGUACUGACGCUCAUGCACGAAAGCGUGGGGAGCAAACAGGAUUAGAAACCCGAGUAGUCC